GCAUUUAGCAACCCGCAAGCAUUUGCUGCCUAAAACAGCUGGAUUUGAAAUGUUAAGCCUCAGCUUUGAUUAACUAUCCAGCAAGGUAUGAUGGCAGCUUUAAGACAUGGAAUAGAUUUAUCUUUACAAAGACAGCAAAACGUUUUCUCUCAUUAACUUCUUUCAAAAGUUAAUGGGGGAGGCAGCAAAUACACAGAUCAGAUUAACAGAGAAUGAGACACUGACAUUUUUCUGCAGCAGGAGUAAACAGCGUAAGUUUUAGAUGAAUAGUCCUACUUCAGUGUUACCAGAGGUAUUUUUGGUGCCCAAGAUAAAACUCACAGCAGAGGAACAUUUAGCUUAUACAGUGCAAUACCAAAGGAAAAGCCACAGGUGGUGGCUGAUUAGCUUACCUUACAUCUAAUGAAAUUCACAAGAUCCUCCCUGCGUAAAAUGGCUGCACUGAUUACAUGAACAAUCCCUGGGAGCAUCCAUGGGGAUGCGGAAUGAACAAAGUAAUGGAUCCACAGCUCUGUGCCCUGCAAAAGUGAUAUGUGCCAUUCCAAACAAUCUAGUAAAUCAGGUUUUAAAUAGUCUUUAAGGGAGAUUGAAGAGAAUUUGAAGUUCAAUGAGUUAAUUCACCAAAAUACGCUUUCCAAAGCAGCAUUUUAAGGGAUUACAGAAUCACCAAACUCAGAUUAUUACAAACAUGCAAUUAAGUCACAGACUUUUUCUGAGGAAAUAAUUGAGCCUUUUUUUUACGAAGACCUGCAUAGGCAUCACUCACUUCAAGGUUAAGGUUCUUAAAUUCACAUAGGAAGACCUCAUCACUCUUCAACUCCCCACAUGCUGCCUCAUCUCACACAGCCUGGGGACUGGGAGUUUCUUCACUGGGAUCUGGUGAGUGCAGGGGCCUCAAGCAGAGCUGAUGGAGGACAGGUGUUGCACUCAGAUUAGUGCACACAAGAGCAUGUGCAGUGUUGCCACAGGAGGGAAGACUUCUGAGCUCGAGGAGGCUCUGCCUCUAUUUUCCCCUUCUGGCAGAAACAAUAGAUGGGCAGGAUUUGAAACUGCAGCCAGACUCCAAUGCUUGAUGCGCAGCCCAUGGGAAAGAACAGAAACUGUACAGGAGCUGGGUGCACACGAAGGCAUUAUAAAAAUCUCUCUGCCCUUGGGAAGAGCGCAACUUGCUUCAACUUUAUGGCAUCAUGGAUUUACUUAAUCUUUCCUAAGAGUGUUGGAAUGAUUCUAUAAAUUUCAUUUCUUAUCUUGCAAAUUAAGUCAGAGCUGCAAAUAUGGCUCUAGAGGCUGAUUCUCCCUGUGUCUGCAUUCUGUUUAAUUAUGCUCAAGAAAAAGCAGCAGCAGCAGCUGAGGACAGACAGCUGCUGCUCUGCCAGGGAAGUGCUCACCUUCACUGGAAAUGGCAUAAAUGCACUGCGGAUGCAAGGUCACUGAGGAUCUGACUGCUGCUGGAAAAAGCCCCUAAAAAUCUAGAGAGGGCAGAGCAAGUGGAAUGGCAGGUCCAUAUACUCUAGUCUCUAAGUCUUCUAAGUCUUGGAUGUCUUAUCUUCUAAGUCUUGGAAUAACUCAGGAAGAAAAGUCAAAUGCUGUUAGGUAUCCCUCGAUGAUUCAGUUAACAUUUUGGAGUUUGGGAAAAAAAACACGACCUGAACAGAACCUGCAAUCAGCUUGACACUGCCACCAGCCAUAAGCAUGAUUGAUACUACAUUGGCUCCAUUAGAUACAGUCUCUAUAAGAGAGUUAUCAGCACCUUAAGAACAAAACCUCUUUUCUGGUUGCUGUUUAAGGUCACCUUUGUAGUACACCAAAAGUUUUAACUGAAGAAAACUUCUGUUGCAAGUUAUCUGCCCCAGUGGGGUUCUGAAUCUUCAGCCUGAACUGUACUUUGUCCCCAUUGCCAUGCUACUUUGACUCUUCCAUUGUCGACG
Long non-coding RNA from Numida meleagris (helmeted guineafowl), 1928 nucleotides. Lineage: Eukaryota; Metazoa; Chordata; Aves; Galliformes; Numididae. The record is from Ensembl.